CAUGCCAUUGAAGGAUUCCCAUAUUAUAUAUCAAUCUAGUCCACUUUUUUUCAUUCAAAAUCUUGUAGCUCGACUCCAAGAGUCCAUGGCAUCCACCUAUAUGCAUGCACCACCCAUUAGCUCCUUCACAUUCUAACCAUCCGAAAGUUGAUCUUGUUCUGAGGCUUUUUUUCUUCAUGACAACACUAACAGCUCUCACAGUAGCAGUCACAAGCAAGCAAACCAAAGUAAGUUCUGUCCCACCAUCACCAUUCCCUAUGACAGUAAAGGCUAAGUACAAUCAACUUGCAGCCCUCAGGUAUCACACAAAUUUCCAAAUUUUCUCCACUGGUUUUAUUUGAUUAUUUGAUUAUGUUCUCAAUGUUUGCUAAUGAGUGCAAAUGUUUUGUGGUGGUGAUGUCUCUUGCUUGCUUAUGCACUGUUCUUACAGUGGCAGUUUCUGCUGUCUCCAACUCAAACCAAAUCCCAAGUUGAAGAUCUUGUUUCAGUUAAUGUUCAUGGAUUUGGUAAGGAAGCCUAGAAACAGUAGUAGCAUAAGGAUUUAUCUUUCCAUCUCUUAUUGA
Molecule: long non-coding RNA, 563 nt
Filed under: Elaeis guineensis (African oil palm)
Lineage: Eukaryota; Viridiplantae; Streptophyta; Magnoliopsida; Arecales; Arecaceae
Description: long non-coding RNA (EGUI_LNC012451)
Source: RNAcentral